UUGCCUGAGAGACACAUAGCAAUUUCUCUCUUAAUUCAGGAUGGCUCCUAAGAUUUGGGCUGGCUCUUAACGGCACAAGAGGAGAAU
Molecule: non-coding RNA, 87 nt
Organism: Arvicanthis niloticus (Nile rat)
Lineage: Eukaryota; Metazoa; Chordata; Mammalia; Rodentia; Muridae
Source: RefSeq, a predicted model, not a curated record